GCAAAAGAGGAGAUACUAGAUAAGGAAUCCAGCAAUGAUGUCCAAGAUGGUAGUCCAAGAAAGACUAGCUCUGAGUCUGAGAAGGCAGAACUUGCAAGGCAGAUACUUUUUAGCUUUAUUGUGAAUUCAGUUCAGCAUAAUGUUGAUACUGGAAGCGAGCCUUUAGCCAGUGAGAAGAAGUUUGAAAGUUUUGAAAGUUCUUCAGAUGCAAUUGCAAAUGACAGUGCAAUCAUAGAAAUUCUCUAUGGAAAUGAAGGAAAGACAGAACAGGUUACUCAGUCGAAUGAUAACAAGCAGUCAAAAACAAUCGAUGUAAAUAAAGAUAAAAAUGGUGAUGGUGAAGGAUUUAUUGCAGUAACAAAGAGGAGAAGAAACAGGAAGUUCACAAAUGGAGUAACCGGGUUGUACAAUCAACAGUCGAUCUGUGCUUCUGUUCGUUGAAGAUAGAUAGGAAAAAGCAGAUAUGAAAAGAAGAAAAAUCACUGGAAAAGGUGAUGAUCAUGUUAUUCAGUUCUUGUACUCCUGACUAGAAAUAGUUGAAGUGUAAUCCAACAAGAGCUGGAAACAUCUCCUCUUGAUUUCCAAGAUCUUGAAAUUUUCAUUUUAUAUAUCUACUAUAAUAAAAUAUUC
Molecule: unclassified non-coding RNA, 630 nt
Filed under: Hevea brasiliensis (rubber tree)
Lineage: Eukaryota; Viridiplantae; Streptophyta; Magnoliopsida; Malpighiales; Euphorbiaceae
Source: RNAcentral